CACGUAGGGGGCGAGCGUUGUCCGGAUUUAUUGGGCGUAAAGAGCUCGUAGGCGGUUUCGUAAGUCGGAUGUGAAAACUCCAGGCUCAACUUGGAGACGCCAUUCGAUACUGCGAUGACUUGAGUCCGGUAGGGGAGUGUGGAAUUCCUGGUGUAGCGGUGAAAUGCGCAGAUAUCAGGAGGAACACCAAUUGCGAAGGCAGCUCGCUGGGACGUUACUGACGCUGAGACGCGAAAGCGUGGGGAGCAAACAGG
RNAcentral lists this ribosomal RNA (254 nucleotides) under uncultured bacterium. Its description in RNAcentral is "partial 16S ribosomal RNA". It matches the Rfam family "Bacterial small subunit ribosomal RNA", at positions 524 to 776 of the family's 1533-position model. The record is from RNAcentral.